This 70-nucleotide transfer RNA is filed under the name Melanorivulus violaceus. Its description in RNAcentral is "tRNA-Val". It matches the Rfam family "tRNA". Rfam says of the family: Transfer RNA (tRNA) molecules are approximately 80 nucleotides in length. The record is from RNAcentral. Lineage: Eukaryota; Metazoa; Chordata; Actinopteri; Cyprinodontiformes; Rivulidae.
CAGAAUAUAGCUAAACGCAUAGCAUUUCCCUUACACUGAAAAGUUGCCCGCGCAAACCAGGCUAUUCUGA